CAUCUAUUUCUAUUUCCAUUCCUGUAUGUACUCAUGCAUAUAAGUACAUAUGGAUUUUUACAUCCACAUAUGUAUGUGUGCAAAUCAUGGGCAAGAUCAGUGAAUCCAGGGGGGUUGGAUGCCAUUACCAAGAAAGCUUGGAGAGGGGAAGGCUCAGACUAUGCCUUGGGGAUCGUUCACACUCAGUGGUCAGUGACUCAUAUGGACCCAGAAGAGGAGCCUGGGAAGGAGCAGUCAGACAUGGAGGAGGAGGAGCCUGCUUACAGAAUUGAGACUAUCCAGAAGGAGGCAGGGCUUGUGAGUGGGUGGACAAGGUUGAGAAAAAGCGAUCAGGGUAGCCACAGUUAGAGAUCACUGAAACCUUUGCUGCUAUUUCAGUCAAGUAUUGUAGGGUCAGAAGCCAGAUCAUAAGGGAUUGAGAAGUGAGGGGAAGGUGAUGUACUGGAGGCAAUGGAUGUAGACUGAAUCUGACUGCAGGAAUAUGACUACAAAAGCAAAGAGAAAUCUAGAAUAAUACCUUGAGAGCAUCUCAGGCCAACAGAAUGGUUUGUGUUUGUUUUCUUUUAUUUUAUCUUAAGGGAUCAUUGGGAAAGGUUUUAUGGUCCAAAAUGAUGUAGAAAGAGAUAGCAACAGGGGUAUAAGGAGAGAGAAUGUCCUUGACAAGGAAGGACAAGGAAAUUAUGACUAGUGAUGAUACAAGGGAUAAAGGGUUUGAGAGGAGAAAGGUGGAUGUAGAUGCACUGACCAAGGAUAAGGCUAAGAUUGUGGAAGGGGCACAAAGGACAUUAAGUUAAAGGUGACUGACCUUGUAGAACAGGGAAGGGAAGGGUGCAAUGUCUGGAGAUGCCAUAAAUGUUUGGGGAAACUGAAGUAGAAGAUAAGACCCAUUACAUUGCUGAAGUUAUCCAAAAAAAGGGCAAAUGUUGGAAGACAUGUCAUUGGUGGAGCUGUGAAUUGCUCUAGGCAUUCUGGGAAAUAACUGGGAAGGCCAUCAAUCACUCAACAAGCAUCAACUGAGCACCCCCUCUGGACCAAGGAUUGUUCUAAGGGUUGAAAUCACACAGACCAAUACAACAUGAUCCCUGCCCUGAUGAAGCUUACGUUCUAGCUCUUCCAGGCAGAGAUCCUGGCCCUGUUUGGACAUCUGAGGGUCAGGACCUGGGCCACCUCUGGGCCAUGACGAGUCGCUUGAGGACCGCCACUCUCCUGGGUAGCUGGAGCUGUUUCCAGUCCGUCCCGCUUCUUGCCUGGGCCUAGCUCCCAGAUGGACCUUCCUGCUGAGUCACACUGCCUGUAGCUGGGGCUGCACAGACAGCCUUCUGUUCCGUGUAUUUUAAUUGCUCUUCCUUCAGAAUGUGCCCGAGGGCCAGUCCUACAUGACUGUUCCCAAGGAGAGGCGCCCAAGGCUCCCUGAGCGGUGACGGGAUCUGGCGAUUAGAUCCUGGGGCUUCCAGUUUGCUCUCCACCCCUUUGGACCCUGAUCCCCAAGGAGACCCUGAGUCCCCUGGGGCCCCGAUCCUUGGAGGACCUAGAGAGGAGGUACCCAGGAGUUCCGAGAGGUUUCCCAUGAUCCCAUUGCAGAGCCAGCUGGAGCAAGGGGAGCCGGCAAACCCAGAGCCUCAGUUCCCGGCACACAUCCUGGCACACAGGGCUCACUUACUCAAUGCUUGCUAAACCGACUUGGAAUGGAGUGAAUCCUGCACCAACACUUGGGCCAUCCCAGCAAUACGAUCCUCAUGAGGUAAGAAAGAAAGCGGGAGCAUUUCUCUAAAAUGUGUCUAUGAAAUGGGACAUUUUUCCUAAGAAUUUUUUUCCACUCUGGGGAUUCAAUGAGACAGGCCAGUGGGGCAAGGCAGACCUGUUAUAGACAUAUCGUGAAGCAUCAUAAGGGGA
This is a long non-coding RNA of Sarcophilus harrisii (Tasmanian devil), 1893 nucleotides long. RefSeq lists it as uncharacterized. The transcript is spliced from 5 exons. NCBI's taxonomy places the organism in Eukaryota, Metazoa, Chordata, Mammalia, Dasyuromorphia, Dasyuridae. The record is from RefSeq and is a predicted model, not a curated record.